AAUAAUCCAAAUCAUGUGCAAUUUUUUGUGGAAUGUUCAUUAUCAUGUCCUUUAUUUUUUGAUGAUUUUUAAUAAAUUUGUGCACGGUUGGAUUUUAGAAAUGCCUAGGGUUUACUUUCAUGUACCAUUCCUUGCACCUUGCCUACUAUUUUGACCAUGAAAUCUUGUGCUUAAUUAGAAAUGCUUGAAAUUUUACAUGCAUG
This 203-nucleotide long non-coding RNA is filed under the name Lathyrus oleraceus (garden pea). Its description in RNAcentral is "Pisum sativum (pea) long non-coding RNA (PSAT_LNC030680)". Lineage: Eukaryota; Viridiplantae; Streptophyta; Magnoliopsida; Fabales; Fabaceae. The record is from RNAcentral.